UACGGAGGGUGCGAGCGUUGUCCGGAAUCACUGGGCGUAAAGGGCGCGUAGGCGGCCUGAUAAGUAGGGGGUGAAAUCCUGCGGCUUAACCGCAGGGCUGCCUUCUAAACUGUCAGGCUAGAGCACAGUAGAGGCAGGUGGAAUUCCCGGUGUAGCGGUGGAAUGCGUAGAGAUCGGGAAGAACAUCAGUGGCGAAGGCGGCCUGCUGGGCUGUUGCUGACGCUGAAGCGCGAAAGCGUGGGGAGCAAACGGG
This 253-nucleotide ribosomal RNA is filed under the name uncultured bacterium. RNAcentral describes it as "partial 16S ribosomal RNA". It matches the Rfam family "Bacterial small subunit ribosomal RNA", at positions 524 to 776 of the family's 1533-position model. The record is from RNAcentral.